CCUACGGGAGGCUGCAGUGAGGAAUAUUGGUCAAUGGGCGCGAGUCUGAACCAGCCAAGUCGCGUGAGGGAUGAAGGUUCUAUGGAUUGUAAACUUCUUUUAUAAGGGAAUAAAGUGCGGGACGUGUCCUGUUUUGCAUGUACCUUAUGAAUAAGGAUCGGCUAACUCCGUGCCAGCAGCCGCGGUAAUACGGAGGAUCCGAGCGUUAUCCGGAUUUAUUGGGUUUAAAGGGAGCGUAGGCGGCUUGUUAAGUCAGGUGUGAAAGUUUGUGGCUCAACCGUAAAAUUGCAGUUGAUACUGGGAGCCUUGAGUAUGUUUGAGGCAGGCGGAAUGCGUGGUGUAGCGGUGAAAUGCUUAGAUAUCACGAAGAACCCCGAUUGCGAAGGCAGCCUGCCAAGCCAUAACUGACGCUGAUGCACGAAAGCGUGGGGAUCAAACAGGAUUAGAUACCCUAGUAGUC
RNAcentral lists this ribosomal RNA (460 nucleotides) under uncultured bacterium. Its description in RNAcentral is "partial 16S ribosomal RNA". It matches the Rfam family "Bacterial small subunit ribosomal RNA", at positions 338 to 795 of the family's 1533-position model. The record is from RNAcentral.